Molecule: long non-coding RNA, 2489 nt
Organism: Chlorocebus sabaeus (green monkey)
Lineage: Eukaryota; Metazoa; Chordata; Mammalia; Primates; Cercopithecidae
Source: RefSeq, a predicted model, not a curated record
CUCUGACUCCCAAGUUCAAGCAAUUCUCCUGCCUCAGCCUCCCGAGUAGCUGAGAUUACAGGUUGCUCUGGCUAGAACUUCUGCAGUGCAGCUUUGAGAAAGCCUCUGAGGUGCUGGGUCUGGGGCAUGGUAGAGAGAUCCAUGUAACAGGAAGAAAGAAAGUGGCAGCCCAGGUCCAUGCCUGAGUCUCCUGGUGAGACACGGAAUCCUUCCAGCAGACUGAAGUGACCAGAAAUGCCCCGAAAGAGGGUGGCCCUGCCUCUGCUUCCAGUCUGCAGUCUGCACCUCGCUGAGCUUACUGUCAGUGUCUCUCCCACUUUGUCUCAGCCUUUGCUUCCAGUCUGCAGUCUGCACCUGGCUGAGCUUUACUGUCCCUGUCCCCCCACCUUGUCUCAGGCGCUGCACAAUAGAGGUUCAGAAGCUGAUUGGACCUGAGCUGGUACUGGGACCGGGAACAAAGAGACAGAAACUUGUGAACCUGACCCAGCAAUAAGGGGUUGGGGAAGGUGAGCAGGGAUUCCAGGUUCUGUGAACGGGGUCCACCAGAGUAAACGGAUUGUGUCCAAGAUGAGUUAGAAUGUCUUGAGAUGAACCUGGAUGCUUUGGAAAUAGCUAGGGAGAGCAACAGAAGUCACAAGUGAGUCUGGUUGUGACACAGGACUCUUUCGGGGCCACUUUGCCAGCUGGAGACCUCCAUGCCGGCAGCGCCCCUGCCCAAGGCCUCACGGCUCCAGGCUGUUGGAGGUACCUGCCCACUCGACCUGGCAGGCUGCAUCUGGCUUGUGCUUCAGGCUGGAUCCCACACUCGCCAUAGGAUCUGCACUCGGCCUGCGGCUGGGCCAGGCGUGCCACCACCUGCUUCCACCUUGGGUGCCAACGUCUGGAUGAGAGGAACGUGGUGGCUCCUGAAAAACCUGGAGACACCAGAAACCCUGGAUCCCCAAAGGAGGUGUUAGUCUUCCUGUCCGUGCUGUGGGUGUGAAGGUGCGUGCUGCACAUCCCGGUUUCCAGCACGGGACAGACUCAGAGAGGCACCUGCUGGGAGUCUCAGGCGAUGGGACCCAGUGGCGGGCAUGUGGGCAGCUGCCCCAGGUGAAAGGGAUCUUGGCACAGCUCUUGGUUUCCCAGGCUGGCCCUGACCUUCGUGCUUUCCCGCCCACGGCCCAGACACCUGAGCUCCAUGUUGGGGAUGCUCAGGGACAACCCUUCAGCCUCCCCCACCGUGUCCCGGCUACUGCCCAGGGUUCUUGUUCUCUGGAGGGUGGAUCCAGCCCUCCCCAUCUUGGUGCCCUACCAGGGCCAGGCUUCCCAUGGCUCUUUCUGCAGCCCCUGGCAUGGACUGUGGGGUGCACAGCCCAGGGAGCAGUGGGCCUUGGAGGGGCCAGGUAUGCAUGUUCCCACCCCCACCAUGGAGUUUGACACACCAGUGGGCAGGUAACUCAAUCCCCCCUCACCUUCUCUUCAUCUGUUAGGGGUGACAAGGUGCUCCCAGUGGGGCCAAGAGGAUGCAGCACCCCCCCGGCUCCCCCUCUGGCCACACCCUUCUCUCAUGGCCCACCUUCUGAGCUGGCAGGGCUUCCUUCCUGGCUUCUGCUGGGCAGUGUAUUAGGGUCCUCUAGAAAGACAAAACCAGUAAUAGAGUUUAGGAGAGGGGAUUUUUAUUUAUUUUUUUGAGAGAGAGUCUUGCCCUGUCACCCAGGCUAGAGUGCAGUGGCUCGAUCUCAGCUCACUGCAACUUCUACCUCCCAGGUUAAAGCGAUUCUCCUGCCUCAGACUCCCAAGUAGCUAGGAUUACAGCCACCACCACGCCCAGCUAAUUUUUGUAUUUUUAGUAGAGACAGGGUUUCACCAUGUUGGCCAGGCUGGUCUCAAACUCCUGACCUCAGGUGAUCCGCCUACCUCUGCCUCCCAAAAUGCUGGGAUUAUAGGCAGGAGCCACAGUGCCCGGCCAGGAGAGCGGUUUUAUUAGGGGAACUGGCCUACAUACUUAUGGAGGCUGAGAAGUCUUCCCAUAGGCUGUCUGCAAGCUGGAGACCCAGAGAAGCCAUUAGUGAGGCUCAGUCCAGGUAAGAAGGCGGUUGAACCAAGAAGCCAGCGGUGUAACUCUCAUUCUGAGGCUGACUGGCCAGGAGCCCUGGGAGGCCUCUGUGGCAAGCCUGAGUCCAAAGGCCGAAGAAUCUGGAGUCCUGAUGUCCAAGGGCAGGAGAUGGGUGUCUCCCUCCAGAAAAGAGAAUAUGCUUCUCUUCUCCCUUUGUGUUCCAUCUGGGCCCCCAGCCAGUUGGAUGUGCCUGCCCACACAGGGCAGAUCUUCACCGAGUCCACUGAAAACAUCCUCACACUCAGAAACAAUGCUUAGCCAGCUGCCAGAUGCAGUGUGUGUGUCUUAGUCCCAGCUCCUCAGGAGGCUGAGGUGGGAGAAAGGAGCCCGGGAGCUCGAGGCUGCGGCGAGCCACAACUGUGCCACCGCACUCCAGGCUGGCUGACAGAGA